GCCUGACUAGCUCAGCCGGUAGAGCAUGAGACUUUUAAUCUCAGGGUCAUGGGUUCAAGUCCCAUGUUAGGCA
Non-coding RNA from Nothobranchius furzeri (turquoise killifish), 73 nucleotides. Lineage: Eukaryota; Metazoa; Chordata; Actinopteri; Cyprinodontiformes; Nothobranchiidae. The record is from the annotation of a RefSeq genome assembly.